Long non-coding RNA from Schistocerca serialis cubense, 379 nucleotides. RefSeq lists it as uncharacterized. The transcript is spliced from 3 exons. Lineage: Eukaryota; Metazoa; Arthropoda; Insecta; Orthoptera; Acrididae. The record is from RefSeq and is a predicted model, not a curated record.
AGAUACUAUGGUCGAAGUUGUUUACUAGAGUAGAUAAUAGAUAUUGAUACUCUAUGGUUUUGUUCGCGGCGGUUAUGUUAAAUUGUGGGAGGAGGGACGGAAUGUAUGGGCCAUGUGUUGUUACAGGUUGUUCCAGUGCUGGACGUAUUACUCUACUUGGAUUCGGAAAUAUCAUGCUGGCACAGUCGUUAGUCCCAACAACUACUACACUAAGCAUUCAUCUGUGCAGUAAGUGCUUGUGGAGCACCUCAGUCAGAUUUCCUCUUUUCUAUCUACUGGUUGGUAAAUUCUGCCAACCAAGCUUUGCACAGUAUCAAUCUACAUAAAAACUCCUAUUCUGAAAGAUGAAUCUCAAAAGGUACUGAAGACAAGGAAAUGU